This 123-nucleotide small RNA is filed under the name Salmonella enterica subsp. enterica serovar Weltevreden. Its description in RNAcentral is "RtT sRNA". It matches the Rfam family "RtT RNA". From Rfam's summary of the family: This family represents a bacterial cis-regulatory element known as RtT RNA. The exact function of RtT is unknown although it is thought that it may be involved in changing the cellular response in relation to amino acid starvation. Lineage: Bacteria; Pseudomonadati; Pseudomonadota; Gammaproteobacteria; Enterobacterales; Enterobacteriaceae. The record is from RNAcentral.
CAUGUGGGGAAGGAUGAGAAGCUUCGACUAAGGUUCGAUUCGAGCGCAGCGAGAAAGCGUUGCCGCAGGCAACGACCCGAAGGGCGAAGCGCGCAGCGCUGAGUAAUCCUUCCCCCACCACCA